RNAcentral lists this ribosomal RNA (253 nucleotides) under uncultured bacterium. RNAcentral's name for it is "partial 16S ribosomal RNA". It matches the Rfam family "Bacterial small subunit ribosomal RNA", at positions 524 to 776 of the family's 1533-position model. The record is from RNAcentral.
UACAGGGGGUGCAAACGUUGCUCGGAAUCAUUGGGCGUAAAGAGCGUGUAGGCGGCUUGUUAAGUCUUGCGUGAAAUCUCGGGGCUCAACCCCGAGCGGUCGUGAGAAACUGGCAGGCUAGAGUGCGGGAGAGGAGAGUGGAAUUCCUGGUGUAGCGGUGAAAUGCGCAGAUAUCAGGAAGAACACCCGUGGCGAAGGCGGCUCUCUGGAACGCAACUGACGCUGAGACGCGAAAGCGUGGGGAGCAAACAGG